RNAcentral lists this non-coding RNA (30 nucleotides) under Mus musculus (house mouse). Lineage: Eukaryota; Metazoa; Chordata; Mammalia; Rodentia; Muridae. The record is from RNAcentral.
UAGCUUAGGAAGUCUGAAGCACUUGCUCAC